This 2201-nucleotide long non-coding RNA is filed under the name Zea mays. RNAcentral's name for it is "long non-coding RNA (ZMAY_LNC002286)". The record is from RNAcentral. Lineage: Eukaryota; Viridiplantae; Streptophyta; Magnoliopsida; Poales; Poaceae.
CGGCAUCAUCUCCUUUGAAAGAUUGCAUAAACGAGGGGCAACAGUGUAUAAACAUAUAUCAUGACAAAAAACAUACUAAGCAUUAUUAAUAUGCUAGCAAAGGAAAGUUAAACAUAACAACAUGAACUGAAUUAACCAGUGCACACGACUAGAAAAAACAAACAUCAUUUGACAUCGAGUUUCUAAUUAAAUCAUGGCUGCAACUGGGCAGCGUUAUUAUAAUAGUGAAGGUGGACGUGCUGCUACUUCCCUCAUUCCCAACAUGAAUCAAAUACCUGCAUUGAUUAAUGCAAGAGUGAGAUGAUACAUCUCAGCAAGCAAAUUAUUUUGACGAGAUAUUUAAACCACAAAUUGAAUUAAACAACAUUUUAAAGGAAUCCCAAUUGAGAUCAGAAAUACUUGUAGAUAUAGAACUCAAUAGUCCUAAUAUAACCAAUACCAUCUCAUUUCCUCGAACAACCACAAUAGGUUGUAUAACCCUUCCCUGCGUCAACAAUACCUGCAGAUAUCACUUCAAUGUAUGCAUAGGAAUGCAAUGUGUAGGUCAUCUCCCCUCAUACCUCUGAGAGUAUAAAACCACAUCAUCUGCUAAUAUCACUUCAAUGAAUGCAUAUAAAUGCAAUGCAUAUGUCCUCUGCCUUCAUACCUCUAAGGGUAUGAAGCCGCAUCAUACCCCUCCUCGGGCAACGUACGAUGCUAAGUUGUACCGGUACGGUCGGACCAUAGGUCACGACCAAACUUCAGAUGCAAAUGAAUAAUGUAAUGCAUAUGGCAUGCUGCAUUUAUCAAUAUACUUCACUUCCUUCAGAUACAAUACAAACCUCAAAUAAUACUUUAUCUGCCUUCAGGGGUGUAAAUUAAUCUCAUGGGUCAUACUCGAACCAUAAUCAUCAUCAAUAUAUGAUUGAGCAUCAGUAUAAUACAAGCAAGUAAAGCAUCAUCAUAGAGUUCAAUUAUGAAAGAAUUCCAUAAUUCUGAAUAUUAGAGCGUAGGCGAUAAAAAAACAACAAGUCAAAACGGUAGCAACCACUGCUACAUUCACUUGCCUUCAUCGAAGAAGAAAGAUGUACUAGGCAUGAUCCGGAGUGUAGCCACCUGCUAGCGGGCAUAAAAAUUAGUACAAAUAUUUCACAAACAUUUGCUAACAAUCAACAAAUCGCUCGUACACUUGAAACCAAAUCCCGGUGAAAAGACUCCCACCCUGAACCACAUGUCAAACAGCAGCAACGCUGUUUGUUAAUUUUGUAUCUUUAAAAUUAUAACAGUGGUGAUAUUAAACAAAUAAUCUAUGAGUGUCUACACAAAAUAUUCUAUAACUUCGGUAUUCAAUGGAUAAUUAAAUUCUGCCAUCUAUAAGUACUAAAACAUCUGAUAAGAUAAAUGUCUGAAUCUGUUUUAGACAGCAGCAUAGUUAACUUCAAAAUUCAAUAUCUACCAAACUACUCAACCAAAAAUUAUGAAAUUCUGCUGGCAGUAAGAACUUUUAUCCCUCUACAAAUGUCUCCGUAGUUGGAACAACCAAUUUGGCUAUUUACUAUAUGAAACCCACCAGUGAACAGACCCGCUCAUUUUUGUCAGGCAAACAGGAACAGCCACAGUAAAACAAACAUAACUGGACUUUCAUAAUUCAUAUGAAUGCGCUCUUUAACAAUAUGGAAAGCUUAUGAAAUUGUCUACAACUUCUUUUACAAUCCUAAAGUUUAAUUCUGUUGAUAAAAUUACCUAAAGCUUAAGAGAACAGAUUCUGUACAGAAUUAUGAGACUGAAAAACUGCUAUAAUCAAACUGCAAUAACUUUCUGAUCUGAUAUCCGAUUGAGGUGUUCUUCACGGCCACAGAAAGAUCUACAAAUUAUCUACGACUCAUAGAUAGACUUUUUAUUUUUUUGAGGCCACUAAGACCACGGAAAACUGGUAUGAACAGAAACUAUUGAAUCUGCCAUUCUGCAGAAACUAAUUUCGAGAUUAAAAUCUAAUCUCCUAUCCAAUCUAACAAAAAAAAAUUAAUUGCAGGGCCUAAAACUCAUCCAAAACAAGGGAAAUCAUUCAUCAAGUGGAUAAAAGAGAGAGAGGAAAGGAAAUCCAACCAAUUCUUAGAGAGGAACGACGAUGAUGGGCGACGGUAUGCCCUCAUCUCCCCUCUCUUCUCUUCUUUUUUUCUUCCUCUCUUCUCUUGGGGCAAGGCACAAAAGGGUGACGGCUG